Molecule: long non-coding RNA, 517 nt
Organism: Silurus meridionalis
Lineage: Eukaryota; Metazoa; Chordata; Actinopteri; Siluriformes; Siluridae
Exons: 2
Source: RefSeq, a predicted model, not a curated record
CCCAGGCGCCACGGGGAAGCUUAGCGCAUCUUUAUUGGGAAUAUUACUGUAGUGGUUUUGCUGUCACAGGGGCCGUGCGCGCGGAGGAAAAUGCUCACGCUGGUAAAGUGCAUGAGUUGUGGAUGACGCCCCACACAUGGAGGGAAACAAGGAGAAAUUAGCAGAUAAGAGGUGAAGUGUUUUCCUCUGCAAAAGACCCCCUGAAGACAAUGCAGUGGUUCCUAAGGCAUUGCUGCAUAAAGCAACUCACACAGCAACUAAAACUGAAAUUGGGAAAGGAUGAUUUUUCACCUGAUUAAAAAUAGACAUUAGAGAGGCAAAAGUUAUAUCCUAUUUUGCUGUAUAUCCCCACAUGUCAAAUCUAGAAGAGGAACAUUCAACAUGUGCUUCUAAGAACAUGGAGCUUUUCACUACAAUUUUUAACAUCAUAGGACUGGACUACACUCUCUCAUAAAGACAAACAGUAAUUUUUAAUGUCAUUUCUUGGUUUAUGUCAAUAAACGUAACCAAUCCCUCA